This 294-nucleotide unclassified non-coding RNA is filed under the name uncultured fungus. RNAcentral's name for it is "sequence contains ITS1". Lineage: Eukaryota; Fungi. The record is from RNAcentral.
GUGUUAUAUUUGUUGGCCAGUGACGGUCCAACGAUAUAUCUCACGUUCAUACAAAUCCAUACGAGUUUGUAAUUAACCGGAGAGAGAAAGAGAGUGGAGAGUGAGAGAGAGUUAUAUGCAAAGCACAUGCACUCUCUCUCCCCUCCCCUUCUUCUUUCUUACUCCUUAGAACAGUGCACACGGGUUUAUGGAUGUAUAGUGGAUGCGAGCCGCCAGAGACACACUUAUCGUACGUCUGUAUGGCUGGCCCUUGAAUCUUCACUAAUGAUCCUUCUGCAGGUUCACCUACAGAAA